AAUAAUUUGUCUGUGAUCAUACAACUAGAAAUGAUGUCAUUGCCAUGGACGAGAACCUUGAUAGCAUCACAAUUCCUACUUACUGGUCCCAAACCCCCCAACUCAGGAUUUCAACUUUAUGCUAUUGCCUUUCCCUCUGUGAUGUCACCCUAGACUCAAAAAUAUCCCUGAAUGCUACCACAUCCGCCUUUAGAGUUACUUUCAGACAAAGGGUCUCACUGGCUCUGUCACUCAGGCUGGAGUGCAAAGGCACCAUCAUGGUUCAUUGAAGUCUUGACCUCCCAGACUCAAGCCUAAUCUCUACAUUUUGAUAGAGAUGAUUCAAUCAUGUUAAAGGACUGCUAACGAUCAGCAAAUAGCCAAAGGCAGAGGAAUCAAUCCAAGAUCUCUUCAGUUCUUUCCUAAUCAGGGUUUCAUGAAGAUUAAUUAGAUACGUCCAUAAAAACAGGACUUGGACUUAAAGUAUAAUAAACAACAACAACAGGACUUGGAACAUAAUCUUCAGCAUGAUAUAAUGACAUGUUAUAAUUAUAGAAGUGUUAAGGUACGGCUGGGCUGGCUCCCUGAGUGACUCCUAAUAUGCAGUUUAGCAAGUGUUAGAAAGACAGGGUUUCUCAGUUCUACAGGAAGUGGUCAGAAGGCUGACACAGUAAGCUUUUGGGUAAGCUUUUGAACACUGGUGUACAACUUCUCUGAAAGCAGGGCGUUUGGUCCUCUGCCUUUCAGGAAUGUUCAUUUUCUAUGUCACUACUUGGCAGUCAUCUUCUUUAUGCAGCUAAACCGGGGGCGGCCAACAUGCUAUGUAUCAGAUGGUAGGAAAGAAGUAUUCGGUCUUUGACCUUGAGGAAUCCUGUGGCAGGUGAAGAGAGAAAAACUGGGUGGCUCUGAAAGCUCAGUUCCAUCUUCUUAUAGAAGCUUAGCAAGAAUCCAGCUCAGUAGUUCUGAGUUAGCAUAAAAAAAGAACACAUGGUAUCUGGCUCAUUCUAGCAGUGGUGGCUAAGCUGGCCCCUUUUCUGGUCAGAAAGCUCUCCCUCAGUGGCACAGGAACUGAUCCUUCUGGAGCAUUAGGGUCCACUCCUUGGAUGGCUUGAGGAGGGAGGCUACACCUCAAUGAGUCUUCUGCUUGUGCAAUUCCCCCCAAGUCUUACUUCACAGGUAUACUGCAUGGCACCAUGGGAUGUGGGCCUGCCCUCCUUGACUCACCAAGCUGAAUUCACUCACCUAAGAGAUAUCCUGGCAGUGCAAGCACACUAACCUUAAUUAUUUAUAAACACAGACUAGAAGAAAGUCAGAAUCAAAGUCAAGUGGAAUUCAAAAUGUAGGCAUGACAAUAAAACAGCCCUGGAUUCUGAGGUCCAACAGGUGGCAACAGGAAUGGCCCAAAAGUAUUUGUUUGGAGUUCAUCUCUACAUAUAAUUUGAUUUUCUGAAAAUCACUUUCUCCUGGAUUAGGCUGCAAUGAAAAUACCAAGGCAUGUGACAAGGACAGUGGUUACCCGAAUGGGCUUCUCAAAGGUGUGAAGUAACAAACUGAAUAACGCAAGUCCAAAAAUACCACUUAGGUCUCUAGAAAGUUGCAGUUUUAAGUAUUUUCAGUCCUGCAUUGCCCAGAUAAUUAGCCUUCUACCCAUUCUACAUGUUACAUAUGUAAGAAAACAAGCUUUUAAGAUAGAGACCAUAAAUCUUGGGGGACAAGAUAAAGUAUAUGCUGAUUUCCGCAUUUUCGUAAUGGUCUGCCUAGGGAAAUUUUCCCAAAUUAAUGAGUAUGUUCAUGGGCAAUAAAUUAAAUAAGACCACCCUGGUGGAUUCUUAAAAACGAACCUAUAAAUCAAAAGGAAAGUGAAUUUCACACAAGCACAAUUCAGAAUGUGAACAUUAGAAGACUUGGCUUUUGCUCUCAUACCUGGGCUCUCCUGAGUCAUUCUCCUCCUCUUCUUCCUCACUUCCGCUGUACUCAUACUCUGUCUCAUCUGAAGAAAGAUCCCAGCAUGUUAGUGCACAAAAAGAUGCUAUGGCUCAGUAAAGCCCAACCCCGUCUCUUAUAUAUAAAUAAAUAGACACCCAAAGAGUCGUAGUUAACACAGCGCUGGAACGGUCUCCAGGCUUGUGAUUUAAUGGUUCCCAUAAGUAUAUGAAAUUAACCACAUUCAAGGCUGUCUUGGCUGACUCUAGAUAUCUGUCCCCAGUGCCUAGUGUUCACAUGAGAAGAUAAGGAAUUAAAAAAUAUUGUUUUAAUUUUUUUAUUAAUUUAAUUUCAAUUAAAAAUAACUUGUUUGGCCGGGCACGGUGGCUCAUGCCUGUAAUCCCAGCACUUUGGGAGGCUGAGGCAGGCGGAUCACAAGGUCAGGAGAUUGAGACCAUCCUGGCUAACAUGGCAAAACCCCAUCUCUACUAAAAAUACAAAAAAAAUUAGCCGGGCCUGGUGGCGGGCGCCUGUAGUCCCAGCUACUUGGGAGGCUGAGGCAGAAGAAUGGUGCAAA
Gorilla gorilla gorilla (western lowland gorilla) is the source of this 2479-nucleotide long non-coding RNA. RefSeq lists it as uncharacterized. The transcript has 4 exons. The record is from RefSeq and is a predicted model, not a curated record. Lineage: Eukaryota; Metazoa; Chordata; Mammalia; Primates; Hominidae.